RNAcentral lists this ribosomal RNA (224 nucleotides) under uncultured Rhodobacter sp. Its description in RNAcentral is "partial 16S ribosomal RNA". It matches the Rfam family "Bacterial small subunit ribosomal RNA", at positions 568 to 792 of the family's 1533-position model. The record is from RNAcentral. Lineage: Bacteria; Pseudomonadati; Pseudomonadota; Alphaproteobacteria; Rhodobacterales.
CACGUAGGCGGACUGGAAAGUCAGGGGUGAAAUCCCGGGGCUCAACCCCGGAACUGCCUUUGAAACUCCCAGUCUUGAGGUCGAGAGAGGUGAGUGGAAUUCCGAGUGUAGAGGUGAAAUUCGUAGAUAUUCGGAGGAACACCAGUGGCGAAGGCGGCUCACUGGCUCGAUACUGACGCUCAUGCACGAAAGCGUGGGGAGCAAACAGGAUUAGAUACCCGGUA